UACGGGGGGGGCAAGCGUUGUUCGGAAUUACUGGGCGUAAAGGGCCAGUAGGCGGCCAACUAAGUCGGAUGUGAAAUCCCUCGGCUUAACCGGGGAACUGCUUCCGAUACUGGAUGGCUAGAGUGUGGGAGAGGGAUGCGGAAUUCCAGGUGUAGCGGUGAAAUGCGUAGAUAUCUGGAGGAACACCGGUGGCGAAGGCGGCAUCCUGGACCACGACUGACGCUGAGUGAGCGAAAGCCAGGGGAGCAAACGGG
This 254-nucleotide ribosomal RNA is filed under the name uncultured bacterium. Its description in RNAcentral is "partial 16S ribosomal RNA". It matches the Rfam family "Bacterial small subunit ribosomal RNA", at positions 524 to 776 of the family's 1533-position model. The record is from RNAcentral.